CACGUAGGGCGCAAGCGUUGUCCGGAAUUAUUGGGCGUAAAGAGCUCGUAGGCGGUCUGUUGCGUCCGCUGUGAAAACUCGGGGCUUAACCCCGAGCCUGCAGUGGAUACGGGCAGACUAGAGGUAGGUAGGGGAGAAUGGAAUUCCCGGUGUAGCGGUGAAAUGCGCAGAUAUCGGGAGGAGCACCAGUGGCGAAGGCGAUCACCUGGGGUUGUUCUGACGCUGAGGAGCGAAAGCUAGGGGAGCAAACGGG
Molecule: ribosomal RNA, 253 nt
Filed under: uncultured bacterium
Lineage: Bacteria
Description: partial 16S ribosomal RNA
Rfam family: Bacterial small subunit ribosomal RNA
Source: RNAcentral